Molecule: unclassified non-coding RNA, 186 nt
Filed under: uncultured fungus
Lineage: Eukaryota; Fungi
Description: sequence contains ITS1, 5.8S rRNA gene
Source: RNAcentral
UUGAAUAUUCUUGAUGGGUUGUAGCUGGCUCUUUGGGGCAUGUGCACGCUUGUCUUGACUCUAUUCAUCCACCUGUGCACCUUUUGUAGUCUUGGGGGUUGAGAGCAGUCGACUAUCGAAUGGCUGUUAUGGCUUUACCGGAUGUGAGGAAUUGCUGAGUGCAAAAGCAUACAGCUCUUCUCAAAA